Daucus carota subsp. sativus is the source of this 2672-nucleotide RNA transcript. It is a transcript of the gene named pentatricopeptide repeat-containing protein At3g02490, mitochondrial, with no coding region annotated. The record is from RefSeq and is a predicted model, not a curated record. The transcript is spliced from 3 exons. Lineage: Eukaryota; Viridiplantae; Streptophyta; Magnoliopsida; Apiales; Apiaceae.
AAAUCUGGACCGGGUCGACCCGCAACUCUCGUAGUCCAUUCAAACUACAAAAACCCGAUCCGGAUCCGCCGCCCUCCUAAACCCUAAGAAACCCCCAAAACUCAGCAUGUCGCUGCUCCAUCUCCAUCGGCACGAUUAAAUCAAAAAAAACCUAAACCCUAAAACCACAAAUAUGAGAAAUCAAUGGCGACUCCUCCUUCUCAGAUCCCGAGGCAACAUUUCCCGCCAUUCCUCUCAACUCAUUAUAUCCCCUCAUCAGGUACACUCGUCAUUUCUCUCUCGUUCUAUUCCCAGCUUACCUGCAACAAAACCCCUUUUUCAAAACCCUAGAUUUUCUAGUUUGCGAUUUUUUUCAUCAUCUGAAGCUGCUGUUGCUCAUAAAGAUUCGGAUCAGAUUGCAGUUGUGACUGAUGUGUUUGCUAAAUCACUUAAAAUUGAUGAAUAUAAGCAAGAAUUAGAGAGUAAUAAUGUAGUUGUUAAUCAUGAUUUGGUGUUGAGUGUUUUGCAAAGUCCUAAUACUGAUGUUGGUGUUGCUAGAAGGCUUUUUGAUUGGGUUUCUGAGGUGAGUAAUGAGAAAUUGAGCUCAAAAUGUUAUAAUUAUAUGUUGGGGAUCUUGGGGGAGAAUGGGCUGGUGAAGGAGUUUUGGGAGUUGGUUGGGGUUAUGAAGAGUAAAGGGUAUGGUGUGAAUAGGGGAACUGUGGUCAGGGUUUCGAAGAAAUUUGAGAAGGAUGGGUUGAAGGGUGAUUUGGGGAAGUUGGAGGAGCUGUUUGCUUCGGGGUCGACAGAUAAUUCGUUUGAGAAGGUUUGUAUGAGGGUUUCAAAGGCUUUUGAGAAGAAUGUGUGGGGGGAUGAUGUGGAGAAGGAGUUGAUGGGUGUUUCGUAUUCGAAUAAUUUGGUUGCAAUGGUGGUGGAGAAGCUUGGGUUGGAUCCGAAUAAAAGUUUGGUAUUUUUUAGGUGGGUAGAGGAGAGUGGCUUGUUUAAGCAUGAUGAAUGGACAUAUGAUAUGAUGGCUAGGGUGUUAGGCAGAGAGGGUUACACUGAUAAAUUCUGGCGAGUGGUUGACGAAAUGAGAGGUGCUGGUUAUCAAAUGACAAGUGAGACUUACAUACAUGUCUUUAAUCAGUUUAUGAAGAAAAAGUUGAUGCAGGAUGCAGUGAUGUUGUAUGAGUUUGCUAUGGGUGGUGUUAAUAAGCCUUCAGUGCAGGACUGUACAUUUCUUUUGAGGAAAAUAAUAGUUGGUGAUAAUCCUGAUAUGGAAUUGUUUAAGAGAGUUGUGAAAGCAUUUACGGAGAGUGGGAACGUGUUGACAAGUUCAAAUCUUAACACUGUUCUCAAAUCAUUGACGAGCUUUAAGGACUGCACUAAAAUUUUGAACGCAAUGGAAGAAGGUGGCCUCUCGCUCAGUGAUAACUUGCAGAGUAAAAUUGCUUUUCGUUUAAGCAGUGAAGGAGAAAAGGAUGAAGCGCUUGAGUUCAUUGAUAGAAUUGAAGCAUCUGGUAGUGAUCUUAAUUAUCAGACUUGGGUGUCUUUAGUUGAAGGGCACUAUGUGGCUGGUCAUCUAGAUAAAGCUUCCGACUGUAUACGAAAGAUGAUAGAAAAGGAGGGGCCAUUAAGUGCUGGCUACCCUUUUGGACUGUUGGUGACUGCUUAUUGCUCUAAGAACAGAUCAAAGGAUGCAUUUGGGCUUCUUGCUGCUCUGGUCGUUGAUAAACAGUUAAAACCUCAACAUACUACCUACAAAGCAUUGACCAGAAAGCUAUUGGUUCAGGGGCAUUUUAAAGAAGCUCUGAACCUUCUUGGUUUGAUGAAAACUCAAGGUUUUCCUCCUUUCUUGGAUCCUUUCCUUGAGUACAUUUCAAAAACUGGAACUGUAGAUGAUGCUAUAAUGCUGCUGAAAUCGAUGACUGUGAAGAGGUUUCCUGCUAAGGCUGUUUAUCUUCAUUUAUUUGAAGCAUAUUUUAAGGCUGGAAAGCACGAUGAAGCACAAAAUUUCCUUUCUCAAUGUCCACGUUUUAUCCGAAACAAUGCUGAUGUUUUAAAUCUCUUCUACUCUAAACAAACUUCCAAGGAAACUGUUGCUGAAUGUGCCACGACGGCUUAGAAAUUCGGUGGGUACGCCAAAUAAAUUACAAUUUAACAAUUUGACUUUUACAGGACACCUUACCGGAUUGUGGUCGGAAGUGUUGGAUCGAUAUAGAGUGGUCAAACUUGUUGCAACAUUUUGAGAAUUAUGUGUGUUUACUGCCCACUUGCUUGCGCAGCUGACAUGGUUAUUGAGAAAUGACAUAUCAUUAUCAGCCUUCAAUCUGUCCAUGGAACCUUAUAAUGACCACUACCAUGUGUAUUCCAGCAGUGCGGAGCAUGAAUGAAUUCCAAUCCUGGUGCAGCAGCUUUUAUGAAGGAGGUGGAUAGGUUGUGUGCAUUCUGGUGUUUGAAGGGACUGAAUGAGACCCGUCAAUGAACAAAACGCGGUGAGCGUGACUAAACCUGGCCGCGGAUUAGGUCUUCUGUCUCUUCUCAAGUAUUAUUGAAUUUUGUUAUUGUUUCAGAGAAUUGUUUGUAGAAAAGAGGAAUAAGAAUUAAAACACAUUUUACGAGGGACCUUGAAUAUCUGUUGAUUAAAAGCAAGUUAGGACAAACGGCAAUCAAGUGGUGAUGAUUAGUUGCUAUUA